This 107-nucleotide non-coding RNA is filed under the name Caloramator mitchellensis. RNAcentral describes it as "SAM-I sequence". It matches the Rfam family "SAM riboswitch aptamer (S box leader)". Rfam says of the family: The SAM riboswitch is found upstream of a number of genes which code for proteins involved in methionine or cysteine biosynthesis in Gram-positive bacteria. The SAM riboswitch acts at the level of transcription termination control. The record is from Rfam by way of RNAcentral. Lineage: Bacteria; Bacillati; Bacillota; Clostridia; Eubacteriales; Clostridiaceae.
AACUCAUCGCGAGUGGUGGAGGGACUGGCCCUAUGAAGCCCGGCAACCGGUGGUUUAACCACAAUGGUGCCAAAUCCUGCGGUAAUUUGUUUACCGAGAGAUGAGAG